Molecule: long non-coding RNA, 2403 nt
Organism: Callithrix jacchus (white-tufted-ear marmoset)
Lineage: Eukaryota; Metazoa; Chordata; Mammalia; Primates; Cebidae
Source: RefSeq, a predicted model, not a curated record
UCCCCUGAGGCUUAAGUGCCCAGUGGGGCAGGGUGUUGAGCAGGCAGGGUCAGGCUGCUGCGAGAUGCAGUUUUCAAGUCACCCCCAACCCAGGACGCUGGAGCUCACUGGUGAAAUGGAUUGUGUUGCCUGGAGAAUUCCCUGGCAUGAGAUGCCUGGUUGCUGGGAGCAGGGACCAGAGAGCUUGGAGGAGAGCACCGCUCGCUGGCCUGUGGGAGUCUUUCAAGAACAAGGGAAGCUGUGAUGGCCGAAGAACCCCGACUUCCUAGCUUCAGGAGAAACUUCCUGCCUGAGCACUCCAAGAGCUGCCAAGGCUUUCCCAAGUCAUUGUGCUCUUGCUGUUCAUUUGGAAUUGACCCUUUCAAUCCAGGAGUCCGUAGGACCCAAGGGCUGGAGGUGGGAGCUAUGCUUAGAGGGAGCUGGAGCCAUUCUGGGCUGCGUGGACCUCAGUCCUGGAUCCGCGAUUGUAGCUGGUCAACACAUCGGGGCUGGACCCACGGUUCUGGCGUCUGCAGUGGGCUUAUCUGGAAUACAAAAUAACAGCUGUAGAAUAAGUACGUUGAUUAAUACUGACUCACAGAAACUCAGUUUUGAAGCCUUUAUUGUAUUUCUGAAGACAUGAAGAGUGCUGAAUCCCAUACCUGAAUUCCUUGGAGCAAAGGACGUUUUAGAAUUCUAAACUUUCAGGCUUCACAAAGGCAGCGCUGAGCCUGUGUUUUAUAACAAGUUGUAUAGAAAGUGUCUGGGCAGUGCUCAGGAAUGAAAUACAGUUGGUCCUCAUUAUUUGCAGAUUUGAUAUUUCUAAAUUUCCUACCUGAUAAAAUGUAUUUGUAACCACAAAAUUAACACUCACAUUAUGUUCACAGUUGUUCACAGACAUACGCAGAGCAUCAGAAAACUAAAAUACAUUGUGCACCACCUGCUGUGCUCGCAUUCCCAGCCAAGGCUAAGCCAGGCGACCUAUGCCUUCUUGUUUCAUCUCGUGCUGUGAACAGGUUUCCUUUAUAAUACCUAUUAAGAGCACUUUUUAGAUUUUUAUUUAUUUGGUUUUUAUUAUUAUUAUUUUAUAUACUUUUUGAGACGGAGCCUUGCUCUAUCACCCAGGCUGGAGUACAAUAGAUUUCAGCUCACUGCAACCUCCUCCUCCAGGUUUAAGGGUUUCUCCUGCAUCAGCCUCCCACGUAGCUGGGAUUACAGGUGCCUGCCACCACGCCUGGCUAAUUUUUAUGUUUUUAGUAGAGAUGGGGUUUCACCAUAUUGGUCAGGCUGGUCUCAAACUACUGACCUCAAAUGAUCCACCCGCCUCGGCCUUCCAAAGUGCUGGGAUUACAGGUGUGAGCCACCACACCCAACCGCAAGAGCCAUAUUUUUAAAAUUCUGCAUUUCUGUGCUUUGUUGAUGCUGAUCCUGUUUAGGAUGGCCCAGAGAUAGUGAAGAUGUGCUGUCUCCUGUCUGCGUCUCUGACCACAGAGGCCAUGAUGUGCCUUAUGGAGAAAUACAUGAGUUACAGAAGCUUCACUCUGGCUCAUAUUCCAGUACUGCUGGCAGUGAGUUCAAUGUUCAUGAACUAAAUGAGGUGUCUUCAAACAGAAACACACAUAAAAUGGGGCUAUGCAUUGAUUUCUUGAUGAAAAUGUUGAGACCCGAGGUUUUCAGGAACCUAACCUUGUAUUUCCCCUAGGAGCGAAAGUUCACUGUUCACCAAUUCAGUAUUCACAGAGACUUUAUUGAACAGAAUUACCAAGAAUAAACAGAAUUAGCUGUAUAUGGAGAUCUGCUCUGAGAAAAAUAUGAAUAUUCACGUGAUAGGAGAGAUAAUGUCUUUAAAUAGCUUUAUCUUGGUUUAGGUCAGGUUUUGCCGUUAUAGUAACGAGUCGAUUGACAAGAAGGAUACACACUGAGAAAUGCAUCGCCAGGCAGUUUCAUUAUUAUGUGAGCAUCACAGAGUGAAUUUAACCAAUCUUGAUGGUGCAGUCCACCAUCAACCUAGGCUACAGGGUAUGGCCUAUUACUCCCAGGCUAUCAGCCUAUAUGGGAUGCACUGGACCGAACACUGUAGCCAGUGGUAACGCAGUGGUAUUUGUGUAUCUAAAUAUACUUAAACAUAGGAAAGUAAAACCAUGUCACUAUAAUCUGAAGGGACACUGUCAUUUAUGUAGUCCAUAGUGGACAGAAAUGUUACACAGCACAGGACUGUAAUUAAUUUAAGGUUAAACAAGAUGCCAAAUGAAUUAAGAAAAAGAAAUUGGUUUCAAACUUUCUAAAGUUUGUAAUUGUACAUAGGGGCCGUGAUAGCUGGUGGAAGACCUUCACAGUCUCUACUUAACAAAAUAAUGUGAUGAAUUUGCUUAGCAUGUUGACAGUAUAUCUAUGAAUAAAGGUUUUGUUUCUUAAAGUUUUUAA